Non-coding RNA from Pelobates cultripes (western spadefoot toad), 358 nucleotides. The record is from the annotation of a GenBank genome assembly. Lineage: Eukaryota; Metazoa; Chordata; Amphibia; Anura; Pelobatidae.
CUUACAUAUGCUUAAGCCUCUCUGACAACGACCCACCUCCUAUACUUUUAGAGAACACAGCUGUGACUGUCACACCCUGCAUGAAAGAAAUGGCUUCACUUUAAAUCAUAUUGUAACUUAUUUUAAAAGUUUUUAUCUCCUGCUCUCCAAAUUGAACUUUAAUCACAUAUAGGAGGCUGCUGCAAGCAAGCCAUUAACAGAGCAGGAGAUAAGAAAUUUUAAAAAAAGGAAGUGUAAACAUUAGCUGACUCUUUACAGGAAGUGUUGUGUGAGUCACAUGCAGGGAGGUGUGACUAGGGCUAAAUAAACAAAGUGAUUUAACUCCUAAAUGGCAGAGAAUUGAGCAGUGAGACACAGG